Molecule: long non-coding RNA, 651 nt
Organism: Zalophus californianus (California sea lion)
Lineage: Eukaryota; Metazoa; Chordata; Mammalia; Carnivora; Otariidae
Exons: 4
Source: RefSeq, a predicted model, not a curated record
CCUUGAGGACGCGACGCUGAGUGAAAUAAGCCAGUGACAAAAGGACAAUUCUUCAAACUCGUCCUGCCUGGUCUUGCUGAAGUGUAAAUUGCAGAGAGGGGAGUGGAGCCAUCCUCAGGCACUGCGCAGGCCAGGUUCCACCCUUGCCGAGAGUCCUUCCCUGACCACCUGAGCACCGGUCCUGAGGUUGGAUCCUGAGCAGCUGGCUGGACAGAUGGAUGGACAGACGGUGGGGUCUAAUCCUCCCAUCCUUGGAUGAACGUUGGACUUAGUGACUUGUUUCUAACAACUGGAACACGGUGGAAACGGUGGUGGGACUUCUGAGGCUGGGUCAUAAAGGUCAUUACAGCUCUCCUCGGUGUCUUGGAUUGCUCCCUUUGGAAAGCCAGCAGCCAUGCUGUGAGGACACUCAGUCAGCUCUGUGGAGGGGCCCACGGGGAGAGGAACCAAAGCUUCCCACCAACAGCCUGUACCACCCUGUCAGGCACGUGAGGGAUCCUCCUUGGAAGCAGAUCUUCCAGCUCCAGGCAAACCUUCGGACGAUGACAGCCUCAGUUGACAUGAGGCUUCAAUCUCACAAGAUACCCUGAGCUGGCAUGUCCCAAUCAGGCCACUUGUGAAUCCCUGACCUGUAGAAAUCUUGAGACCUAA